GGAGCUGUGGCUCAGUGGCAGAGCGCUUGCCUAGCAUGUGUGAGGCACUGGGUUCAAUCCUCAGCACCA
Molecule: transfer RNA, 69 nt
Filed under: Ictidomys tridecemlineatus (thirteen-lined ground squirrel)
Lineage: Eukaryota; Metazoa; Chordata; Mammalia; Rodentia; Sciuridae
Description: Spermophilus tridecemlineatus (thirteen-lined ground squirrel) tRNA
Rfam family: tRNA
About the family: Transfer RNA (tRNA) molecules are approximately 80 nucleotides in length. Their secondary structure includes four short double-helical elements and three loops (D, anti-codon, and T loops). Further hydrogen bonds mediate the characteristic L-shaped molecular structure. tRNAs have two regions of fundamental functional importance: the anti-codon, which is responsible for specific mRNA codon recognition, and the 3' end, to which the tRNAs corresponding amino acid is attached (by aminoacyl-tRNA synthetases). tRNAs cope with the degeneracy of the genetic code in two manners: having more than one tRNA (with a specific anti-codon) for a particular amino acid; and 'wobble' base-pairing, i.e. permitting non-standard base-pairing at the 3rd anti-codon position.
Source: Rfam by way of RNAcentral